AAUCCAUAGGUUAAUGAGGCGAACCGGGGGAACUGAAACAUCUAAGUACCCCGAGGAAAAGAAAUCAACCGAGAUUCCCCCAGUAGCGGCGAGCGAACGGGGAGGAGCCCAGAGCCUGAAUCAGCAUGUGUGUUAGUGGAAGCGUCUGGAAAGGCGCGCGAUACAGGGUGACAGCCCCGUACACAAAAGCGCAUGUGCUGUGAGCUCGAUGAGUAGGGCGGGACACGUGGUAUCCUGUCUGAAUAUGGGGGGACCAUCCUCCAAGGCUAAAUACUCCUGACUGACCGAUAGUGAACCAGUACCGUGAGGGAAAGGCGAAAAGAACCCCGGCGAGGGGAGUGAAAAAGAACCUGAAACCGUGUACGUACAAGCAGUGGGAGCACAGGUUUACCUGUGUGACUGCGUACCUUUUGUAUAAUGGGUCAGCGACUUAUAUUCUGUAGCAAGGUUAACCGAAUAGGGGAGCCGGAGGGAAACCGAGUCUUAAUUGGGCGUUAAGUUGCAGGGUAUAGACCCGAAACCCGGUGAUCUAGCCAUGGGCAGGUUGAAGGUUGGGUAACACUAACUGGAGGACCGAACCGACUAAUGUUGAAAAAUUAGCGGAUGACCUGUGGCUGGGGGUGAAAGGCCAAUCAAACCGGGAGAUAGCUGGUUCUCCCCGAAAGCUAUUUAGGUAGCGCCUCGUGAAUUCAUCUCCGGGGGUAGAGCACUGUUUCGGCUAGGGGGCCAUCCCGGCUUACCAACCCGAUGCAAACUGCGAAUACCGGAGAAUGUUAUCACGGGAGACACACGGCGGGUGCUAACGUCCGUCGUGAAGAGGGAAACAACCCAGACCGCCAGCUAAGGUCCCAAAGUCAUGGUUAAGUGGGAAACGAUGUGGGAAGGCCCAGACAGCCAGGAUGUUGGCUUAGAAGCAGCCAUCAUUUAAAGAAAGCGUAAUAGCUCACUGGUCGAGUCGGCCUGCGCGGAAGAUGUAACGGGGCUAAACCAUGCACCGAAGCUGCGGCAGCGACACUCAGGUGUUGUUGGGUAGGGGAGCGUUCUGUAAGCCUGUGAAGGUGUGUCGUGAGGCAUGCUGGAGGUAUCAGAAGUGCGAAUGCUGACAUAAGUAACGAUAAAGCGGGUGAAAAGCCCGCUCGCCGGAAGACCAAGGGUUCCUGUCCAACGUUAAUCGGGGCAGGGUGAGUCGACCCCUAAGGCGAGGCCGAAAGGCGUAGUCGAUGGGAAACGGGUUAAUAUUCCCGUACUUGGUGUUACUGCGAAGGGGGGACGGAGAAGGCUAUGUUGGCCGGGCGACGGUUGUCCCGGUUUAAGCGUGUAGGUGUGUGUUCCAGGUAAAUCCGGUUCACUUUAACACUGAGGCGUGAUGACGAGGCACUACGGUGCUGAAGCAACAAAUGCCCUGCUUCCAGGAAAAGCCUCUAAGCAUCAGGUAACAUCAAAUCGUACCCCAAACCGACACAGGUGGUCAGGUAGAGAAUACCAAGGCGCUUGAGAGAACUCGGGUGAAGGAACUAGGCAAAAUGGUGCCGUAACU
Molecule: ribosomal RNA, 1537 nt
Filed under: Salmonella enterica subsp. enterica serovar Infantis
Lineage: Bacteria; Pseudomonadati; Pseudomonadota; Gammaproteobacteria; Enterobacterales; Enterobacteriaceae
Description: partial 23S ribosomal RNA
Rfam family: Bacterial large subunit ribosomal RNA
Source: RNAcentral